ACACCUCUCGUAUCGAUCCCCUCGAGGAGAAGCCGUCGCCCCCAUCUCCCGUUCCGCCGCCGCCGCCCCCCACCUUGCCCUAUCUCCCUCUCAGCCACCUCCACCACCCCCACGCUUCUCCUCACCACAACAGAUCCCUUCGCCGUCGCCCUCGCACUCGCACCAAGCCGCCGCCGAUCCCUGCGUCCCAGUGGAUCCGUUCGCCGCUGCCGAUCCUUCGCUGCCGCCGAUCUCGUCGCUACAUCGACGGCAACCAGGGGUCGUCCUCCGCCCGGCCGCAGUGGAGAUCAAGCAGGAGUCCUCCAAGGACGACUCCCGCGGGAUCAUCCUGAUCCUGUUCGAGAAGUUCGGCUUCUCCCACCGCGGGUCCGUCUCCAUCGCGCUCACCGGCGCCAGGGCUGCCUCCAAGCUCGCCAAGCCGGACUCUUCGCAGCUCGGCUUCUUCCUUUGGUGAUAUAGAAGAUGAAAUUAUUAUUUACAAAAGAAAUUGUUUGAGGUCAAGAGUUGAUGCCAAAUGUCCUGGAUCAGGACAACUCCUGGGAAACAAGGCGAACGGUAUGUGCGUGCAAGAUUGAAAAUUGUACUAGAUAUGUGUAGUUUGCUCCAGGAUCCUAUAUCAGUGUAUUUGCUUCGUGCAGUUCCCUAUGUCAUCCAUUAUAUUUAUAUAGGGAUAAAUUUCCACGGGUUGCUGUAAGCAAAACUCCCUAUGUACCGGCACUUGUCUCUUUACAGACUGUCCGGGCUUUCUAGAUUAGAAUAUAAUUGUUUUAGAUAAUUUGAAAUAAGUUUUUACGCCAGCUUGCACCUUUAUUAUUUGCAGCCGGGAAGUCUAUUUCUUUUCUUUUUUUUGAUUCAAAACUAUUGGCAUGAAUUGGCCCUUGCAUUUGGUCUGAGCACUGACAAUAAUUCCAACCUGUCAAUUGGGGACAGAUAUGUCCAUCACACCUGUACCUUUUAUUCAGUUUGAGGAGGAAUAAGUAGUCAAUUGGCUGAUUAAUUAUGUUUCAUGUGAUUUGUAUAUGGACGCAGUUGCAACAGUUAGCUGCAUCAACUAUAAUUUUUCUUUCGCUGGCGGGGCAUGCAUCCCGACGAGUUAUACAAUUUAGCUGAUUUAAUUCGUGGCCUAACAAUACUUUUGGUAAUAGUUGUCAACUAAAAAAGGAUCUGCUUUUUCGUAAUGAUGGCCAAAUAAAAGAGGAUCCAAACCCUCACGAGUUUACAUUGUACAAAGCUAUUAUGUGCUGACAAUAUUUUUUCUAAGUUGCUCUCUACAUCUCGGUGUUAUUAGUCUAAAUAUUCUGAUUCCAAAGGAUGUUUUCAAACAUCAGAUCUUUUAAUAAAUUUGAAACAACAUAUCUUUCUAAUUUUGGUUCUGUCUAAAAUGAUGAAAUUCAAUUUUGUUCUACUGCAUAUUAGUUUAAUCAUCUUCACCAGCAGUAUAUAUUGCAGAUAAUUGUGUUGGUUUGGUUUUUAGCAUGUAGGUAUGAUAUGGUAAGCCUCCAGUGAAGGAGGGGCUUAGAAAAAGAGAAACUGUUCUAUUUGAUAUACAAUGUAAUUUGGAAAUUAAUGGCAGAAGGCUCCUAAACUAACAUAUGAUGUUUUGUUUGAAUUUCUCUUUACCGGAUUGUGUUACUUAUGCGCAAUCACCAUACUUGACAAGGGUCCCUGAUUUUAUCACUUCCGUUGACGAGUCUUGUGUCAGCAUCUUGAUGCGAGGUAGGUUCUGGAAGAUGUCAUGAAGAAUUUCUUUCAGAGAAUUUGCGUGAGGUGUGUCUAAAUGAUUUUUAUCUUCUGAACAUAUUCUUGUAUGACUAACUGAAUUCAUUUUUUCAAAACCGUGACUAGCUGAUCUGUAGCGGCGCGGAAGGUGAGCUUGGCUGCAGGUAGCAGCUCCUUUGGCUGAUCUGCGGCGAUGCAGAAGUUGGGUUGGAAAGAAGCACGACCGGCUGCUCUGAAGUGGGACGUAGGGAGAGCUUCGUAAGAGAUAGGGAGGGAGCUCUAUUGGCCCGUGCAUGACAUCCAACCCAAUGGCAUCAUGCCCUGGUAGGCAUGGUUGUGUGGCCACGGGGAAAAUGGAGCAAGUAGCAUGUGAGGAGUUUAACAAAUGGGGACAAGGGACAGUUUAGUUAAUUAAGGCUCUAUGUUAGUUUCAAGUUUUAUCCUUGUUGCGGUAAGAAAUUAUGGUUGGAUUAACCACCAUGUGUUGGAAAUAUGCCCUAGAGGCAAUAAUAAAAGUAUUAUAAUUAUAUUUCCUUGUUCA
This is a long non-coding RNA of Triticum aestivum (bread wheat), 2260 nucleotides long. RefSeq lists it as uncharacterized. NCBI's taxonomy places the organism in Eukaryota, Viridiplantae, Streptophyta, Magnoliopsida, Poales, Poaceae. The transcript is spliced from 5 exons. The record is from RefSeq and is a predicted model, not a curated record.